This 30-nucleotide non-coding RNA is filed under the name Rattus norvegicus (Norway rat). The record is from RNAcentral. Lineage: Eukaryota; Metazoa; Chordata; Mammalia; Rodentia; Muridae.
UGAAAUAGCUCUUGCUCCUUAAUUGUGUGU